RNAcentral lists this ribosomal RNA (492 nucleotides) under uncultured bacterium. RNAcentral describes it as "partial 16S ribosomal RNA". It matches the Rfam family "Bacterial small subunit ribosomal RNA", at positions 29 to 507 of the family's 1533-position model. The record is from RNAcentral.
AGUGAACGCUGGCGGUAGGCCUAACACAUGCAAGUCGAACGGCAGCACAGUAAGAGCUUGCUCUUACGGGUGGCGAGUGGCGGACGGGUGAGGAAUACAUCGGAAUCUACUUUUUCGUGGGGGAUAACGUAGGGAAACUUACGCUAAUACCGCAUACGACCUACGGGUGAAAGCAGGGGAUCUUCGGACCUUGCGCGAUUGAAUGAGCCGAUGUCGGAUUAGCUAGUUGGCGGGGUAAAGGCCCACCAAGGCGACGAUCCGUAGCUGGUCUGAGCGGAUGAUCAGCCACACUGGAACUGAGGCACGGUCCAGACUCCUACGGGAGGCAGCAGUGGGGAAUAUUGGACAAUGGGCGCAAGCCUGAUCCAGCCAUACCGCGUGGGUGAAGAAGGCCUUCGGGUUGUAAAGCCCUUUUGUUGGGAAAGAAAAGCAGCAGGUUAAUACCCCGCUGUUCUGACGGUACCCAAAGAAUAAGCACCGGCUAACUUCGUG